GGUGCCGCUGGCCGAGCACGCCGCGGUGUUCGCGGCGCUGACCGACGCGGGUUUCACCGACCUGUGGUCGUCCGAGGUGGCCGGCACCG
RNAcentral lists this transfer RNA (89 nucleotides) under Actinoplanes auranticolor. Its description in RNAcentral is "tRNA-Ala". The record is from RNAcentral. Lineage: Bacteria; Bacillati; Actinomycetota; Actinomycetes; Micromonosporales; Micromonosporaceae.